UCUAGCCCUAAAACCCUAGCCCUAGACCUAGCCCUAACACCAAGCCCUAGCCCUAGCCCUAACCCUAACCCUAACCUCUAACCUCUAAAACUAACCCUAGCCCUAACCCUAAAUCCUAACCCUAAACCCAAACCCUAAACCUAACCCUGACUCUAACCCCUAACCCUGACCCAGACCCUGACCCUAAACCGUGACAAUGACCCUAAACCCUGACCAUGACCCUAACCCUGACCGUGACCCUAACCCUGACCCUAAACUCUGACCCUGACACUAAACACUGACUCUGACCCUGACCCUAAACUCUAUCACUAAACACUAAACCCUAACCCCUAGCCCUAACACAUAGCCCUAACCUUACCCCAACCCUAAUCCUAAACCCUAAACCCUAACCAUAAAAACAAACCCUAAACCUAACCCUGACCCUAACCCCUGACCCUGACCCUGACCCUGACCCUAAACCCUGACCAUAAACCCUGACCCUGACACUAAAAACUGACCCUGACCCUAAACUCGAACACUAAACCCUAAAACCUAACCUUAACCCCUAAACCCGAUCCCGAACCAUAACCCUAACACUAAACUAAACCCUAAACCCUAACCUGUGUAGGGAGUGAGGAGGUGGGAGGGACUAGGCUGGGCACUGUGAAGGGAGUCAGGAGGUGGGAGAGACCAUGCAGGGCCCUGUAUAGAGAGUGAGAGACCAGGCAGGGCACUGUAUAGGGAGUAAGAUGGUGGGACAAAAGAGACAGAAACCUGUGUAGGGAGUGAAGAGCUGAGAGACCAGACAGAGACCUUUGUAGGGAGUGAGGAGGUGGGUGAGACCAGGCAGGGCCCUGAGUAGGGAGAGAGGAGAUGGAAGAGACCAGGCAGGGACAGGUGUAGGAAGUGAGGAGGUGGGAGGGACCAGGAAGGGCCCUGUGUAAGGAGUGAGGAUGUGGAAGAGAACAGGCAGAGAACUCUGUAGGGAGUAAGGAGGUGGGACAGACCAGGCAGAGACCUUUACAGGGACGGAGGAGGUGGGAGAGAAAAGGCGGGGCCCUGAGUAGGGAGUGAGGGGCUGGGAGCAACCAGGCACGGCCAUGUCUAGGGAGUGAGGAGGUGGGAGAGGUCAGGCAGGGACCUGAGUAGGGAGUUAGGCCUUAGGAGAGACCAGGCAGAGACCUGCAUAGGGAGUGAGGAGGUGAGAGAGACCAGGUAGGAUGCUGUGUAAAGAGUGAGGAUGUAGGAGAGACCAGGCAGGGCCCUGUGUAAGGAGUGAUGAGGUGGGAGAGACGAAGCAGGGACCUGUGUAGGGAGUGAGGAGGUGGGAGAGAAUAGGCAGAAACCUGUGUAGGGAUUGAGAAGAUGGUAGAGAGCAGGCAGGGCCCUGUGUAGGGAGUGAAGAGGUGGGAGAACCAUUCAGAGACCUGCAUAGGGAGUGAGGAGAUGGGAGAGACCAGGAAGGGCCCUCUGUAGGGAGUGAGUUGGCCAGAGAUCAGGCAUGUCCCUGUAUGGAGUAAGGAUAUGGGAGAGACCAGGCAGGGCCCUGUGCAGGGAGUUAGGAGGUGGGAGAGAACAGGCAGAGAAGAGUGUAGGGAGUGAGGAGGUGGGACAGACCAGGCAGGGCUCUGUGCAUAGAGAAGAUGGGAGACACCAGACAGGGCCCUGUGUAGGGAGUGAAGAAGAGGGAGACCCAGGCAGAGUCCUGCUUAGGGAGUGAGGAGAUGGGAGAGACCAGGCAGAGCCAAGUAUAGGGAGUGAGGAUAUGGGAGAGACCAGGCAGGCCCUGUGUAAGGAGUGAUGAGGUGGGAGAGACCAAGCAGGACCCUGUGCAGGGUGUGAGGGGGAGGGAGCAUCCAGGCAGGGCCCUGUGUAGGGAGUGAGGUGUUGGGAGAGACCACACAGGUCCUGUGUAGGGAGUGAGAAUGUGCCAGAGAUCAGGCAGGGCCCUGUGUAGAGAGUGAGGAGGUGGCAGAGAAGAGACAGAGACAUAUGUAGGGAGUAAGCAGAAGGGAGACACCAGGCAGGGCCCUCUGUAGGGAGUGAGGAGGAGGGACAUAGCAGGCAGGGCCCUGUGUAAGGAGUGAGGAGGUGGGAGAAUCCAGGCAGACACCUGUGUAGGGAGUGAGGAGCUGGAAGAGACCAGGCAGGGACCUGUGUAGGUCCUGAGGAGGUGGGAGAGGCCAGGCAGCGUCCUGUGUAGGGAGUGAGAAGGUGGGAGAGACCAGGCAGAGCCCUAUGUUGGGAGUGAGGAUGCAGGAGAGAAGAGGCAGAGAUGUGGGAGAGACCAGGCAAAGACCUGUGAAGGGACUGAGGAGGUGGGAGAGACCUGGCAGGGCCCAGUGUAGGGAGUGAGUAUCUUGGAGAGAAGAGGCAGAGACCUGUGUAGGGAUUGAGAAGAAGGAGAGACCAGGCCGGGCCCUGUGUAGGGAGUGAGGAGGUGGGAGAGGCCAGGCAGAGCCCUGUGUAGGGAGUGAGGUGUUAGGAGAGACCAGGCAGGGCCCUGUGUAGGGAGUGAUGAGGUGAGAGAGAGCAGGUAGGACCCUGUGUACAGAGUGAGGAUGUGGAAGAGAACAGGCAAGGCUGUGUGUAGGAAGUAAGGUGGUGGAGAUACCAGUCAGGGACCUGUGUAGGGAUUGAGGAAGUGGGAGAGACCAGGCAGGACCCUGUGUAGGGAGUGAGGAGGUGGGAGAGACCAUCAGGGCCCUGUGUAGGGAGUGAGGAGGUGAUAGAGAACAGGUAAGGCCCUGCAUACACAGUGAGGAGUUGGGAGAGACCACCCAGAUACCUGAGUAGGGAGUCAGGAUGUGGGAGAGAUCAGGCAGAGCCCUGUGUAGGAAGUGAGGUGUUAGGAGAGACCAGGCAGGGCCCUGUGUAGGGAGUGAGGAGGUGGGAGAGACCAGGUAGGACCCUGUGUACAGAGUGAGGAUGUGGAAGAGAACAGGCAAGGCUGUGUGUAGGAAGUAAGGUGGUGGAGAUACCAGUCAGGGACCUGUGUAGGGAUUGAGGAAGUGGGAGAGACCAGGCAGGACCCUGUGUAGGGAGUGAGGAGGUGGGAGAGACCAUCAGGGCCCCGUGUAGGGAGUGAGGAGGUGAUAGAGAACAGGUAAGGCCCUGCAUACACAGUGAGGAGUUGGGAGAGACCACCCAGAUACCUGAGUAGGGAGUCAGGAUGUGGGAGAGAUCAGGCAGAGCCCUGUGUAGGAAGUGAGGUGUUAGGAGAGACCAGGCAGGGCCCUGUGUAGGGAGUGAGGAGGUGGGAGAGACCAGGCAGGUCUGUGUGUAGGGAGUAAGGAGGUGGAGAUGCCAGGCAGGGCCCUGUGUAGGGAGUGAGGAUGUAGGAGAGAUCAUCAGGGCCCUGUGCAGGAAGUGAGCAGAUGGGAUACACCAGGCAGGGCCCUGUAUAGGGAGUGAGGAGAUGGGAGAGAACAAGCACAGCCCUGUGUAGGGAGUGAGAAGAAGGGAGAUAACAGCCAGAAACAGUGCAGGGACUGAGGAGGUGGGAGAGGUAAGGCAGGACCCUGUGUAGGGAGUGAGGGGGUGAUAGAGACCAGGCAGAGCCCUGUGUAGGGAGUGAGGAGGUGGGAGAGGCCAGGCAUGGCCCUGUGUAGGGAGUGAGGAGGUGGGAGAGACCAGGCAGGGCCCUGUGGAGGGAGUAAGGAGGUGGAGAGACCAGGCAGUGGCUUGUUUAGGGAGUGAGCAGGUGCGAGAGAACAUCAGGGCCCUGUGUAGGGAGUGAGGAGGAGGGAGAAAACAGGCUAACACCUGUGUAUGUAGUAAGGAGGUGGGAAAGACCACCCAGAGACCUGUGUAGGGAUUGAGGAAUGGGAGGGAACAGGCAGAGAACUGUGUAGGGAGUGAGGAGGUAGGAGAGACCAGGCAAGGCCCUGUGUAGGGAGCGAAGAGGUGGAGAACCAGGCAGAGUCCUGCGUAGGGAGUGAGAAGGCGAGAGAGGACAGGCAGAGCCCUGCGUAGGGAGUGAGGAGGUGGGAUUGACUAGGCAGGACCCUGGGUAGGGUGUGAGGAGGUGGGAGAUUCCAGGCAGGGCCCUUUGUAGGGAGUGAGGUGUUGGGAGAGACCAGGCAGAGUCCUGUGUAGGGAGUGAGGAUUUGGGAGAGACCAGGCAGGGCCCUGUGUAUGGCCUGAGGAGGUUAGAAAUACCAGGCAGGGCCCUGAGUAGGGAGUGAGGAAGUGGGAGAGAAGAGGCAGGGCCCUGUCUAGGGAUUGAAGAGGUGGGAGAGAACAGGCAGAGACCCUUGUAGGGAAUGGGGAGGUGGGAGAACCAUGCAGAGACCUGUGUAGGGAUGGAGAAGGUGCGAGGGACCAGUUAGGGCCCUGUGUGUGCAGUCAGGAUGUGAGAGAGAGGAGGCAGGGCCCUGUGUGAAUUGAGGAUGUGGGAGAGGCCAGGCAGGGCCCUGUUUAGGGAGUGAGGAGGUGGGAGAGAUCAUCAGGGCCCUGUAAAGGGAGUGAGGAGGUGAGAGAGGCCAGUCAGGGACCUGUGUAGGGAGUUAGGCGUUAGGAGAGACCAGUCAGGGCCCUGUGUAGGGAGUGAGGAGGUGGAGAGACCAGGUAGGAUGCUGUAUAAAGAGUGAGGAUGUAGGAGAGACUAGCCAGAGCCCUGUGUAGGGAGUAAGGAGGUGGAGAGACCAGGCAGGGUCCUGUUUAGGGAGUGAGGAGGUGGGAGAGAUCAUCAGGGCCCUGUAAAGGGAGUGAGGAGGUGAGAGAGGCCAGUCAGGGACCUGUGUAGGGAGUGAGGAGGUGGGAGAGACCAGGCAGAGACCUGCAUAGGGAGUGAGGAGGUGAGAGAGACCAGGUAGGAUGCUGUAUAAAGAGUGAGGAUGUAGGAGAGACUAGCCAGAGCCCUGUGCAGGGAGUAAGGAGGUGGAGAGACCAGGCAGGGUCCUGUUUAGGGAGUGAGGAGGUGGGAGAGAUCAUCAGGGCCCUGUAAAGGGAGUGAGGAGGUGGGAGAGACCACCCAGAUACCUGUGUAGGGACUGAGGAGGUGGGAGAGAAAAGACAGAGCCCUGUGUAGGGAGUGAGGAGGUGGGAGAUACCAGGCAGGGCCCUGUGUAGGGAGUGAGGAGGUGGCAGGGAGCAGUCAGAGACCUGUGUAGGGAGUGAGGAGGUGGCAGAGACCAGGCAGGGCCCUGUCUAGGGAGUGAGGAGUUGGAAGAGACCAGGCAGAGACCUGUGUACUGAGUCAGGAGGUGGGAAAGAACAGGCAGGACUGUGUUUAGCAAGUGAGGGGGUGAGAGAGAAUAGGCAGAAACUUGUGUAGGGAGUGAGAAGAUGGAAGACAGCAGGCAGGGCCCUGUGUAGGGAGUGAAGAGGUGGGAGAAACAUUCAGAGACCUGAAUAGGGAGUGAGGAGUUGGGAGAGACCAGGCAGGGCUCUGUGCAGGGAGUGAGGAGGCCAGAGAUCAGGCAAGUCCCUUUGUAUGGAGUAAGGAUGUGGGAGAGACCAGGCAGGGCCCUGUGCAGGGAGUGAGGAGGUAGGAGAGAUCAGGCAGGGACUGGUGUAGGGAGUGAGGAGGUGGGAGAGACCAGGCAGGGCUCCGUGUAGGAAGUGAGGAAGUGGGAAAGAACAGGCAGAAAGCUGUGUAUGGAGUGAGAAGAUGGGAGACACUAGCCAGGGCCCUGUGUAGGGAGUGAAGAGGUGGGAGAACAAGGCAGAGUCCUGCAUAGAGAGUGAGGAGGUGGGAGAGGACAGGCAGAGCCCUGCUUAGGGAGUGAGGAUGUGGGAGAGACAAAGCAGGGCUCUUUGUAAGGAGUGAUGAGGUGGGAGAGACUAGGCAGGACCCUGCUAGGGGUUAUUGAUAUUGUAAGGGUUAGGUUUAGGGUUAGGGUAGGGGUAAGGUUAGGGUUAAGGCUAGCUUUACUGUAAAGGGUGGGGCCAGGUUAGGGUUAGGGUUAGGUUUAGAGUUCGAGUUAGAUCUAGGGUUUAGGGUUAGGGUUAGGGUCCGGUUUAGAGUUAUUGUUAGGUUUAGGGUAGAGUUAAGGUUAGCGUUAAGUUUAGGGUUAGGGUAAGGAUUAAGUUUAGGUCAGGGUUAGGGUUAGGACGAGUGAUAGGGUUAGGGAAAGGGUUAGGGGUUUGUGUGAGGCUUAGUGUUACAUUUACAGUUAAGCUGAUGUUUUAGGGUGUUACUACCAGGGUUUACCAGGGUUAGGGUUAGAGUUAGGGUUAGGGCGAGAGUUAGAGGAUAGUUUAGGGUUAGGUGUAAUUUUAGGGUUAGGGUUAGGCUUAGGUUUAGGGUGAAGUUUAGGUUAAGGAUGAGGGUUAGGAUUAGGCUUUGGUGUUUAGGUUAAGGUUAGGGUUAGGCUUAGUGUUAGGUUUAGCGUUAAGUGUUUGGGUUAAUGUUAGGGUCAGGUUUAAGGUUAGGUUUAGGGUUAGGGUUAGUGUUUGGUUUAGGGUUAGGGUUAGGGUGAAGUUUAAGUUAAGGGUGAGUGUUGAGCUUAGGGUUAGUGUUGGGGUUAGGGUUAGGGUUAAGGUUAGAAUUAAGUUUAGGGUUAAGGUCAGGUUUAGAGUUAGGGUAAGUGUUAGGGUUAAGUCAUAGUUAGGUUUAGGACUAGUUUUUAGUUAGAGAUAGGGUUGGGUUCAGGGUUGGGCUUAGGUUUAGAUGUUAGGGUGAGGGAUAGUGCUAGGUUUCCAUUCAAACUGCGUGUGUAGGGUAAGUUUUAGGGUUAAAGUUAGAGUUAGAGUCAGGGUUAGGUUUAAGUUUAGUGUUGGGAUUAUGUUUAUGGUUAGGGUCAGGGUUGGGGAGAUUUAGUGUUUAGGGUUACAGUGAAUUUAUGUUCUGCGAGAGGGUUAGGGUUAGGGGUUUGGGUUCAGGUUAGAGUCAGGGUUAGGGUUAGGUUUAGGGUUAGGGUUAGGUUUAGUGUUAGUGUUAGUUUUGCUUAGGGUUAGGGUUUGAAUGAAGUUAGGGUAGGCUUAGUGUUAUGCUUAGGGUGAAAUUUUGGUUAAGGGUUCGGGUUCGGCUUAGGCUUAGGGUUAGAGUUAGGGUCAGUGGUUAGGGUUAGGUUUAGGGUUAAGGUUAGGUUUAGGCUAAGGAUUAGCGUUAGAGUUACGGUUAAGGGUUAGCAUUUCAGUUAGGUUUAGGUUAGGGUUAUAAUUAGGGUUAAGUUUAGGGUUAGGGUAAGAGUUAGAGUUACAUUUACAGUUAAGAUGAGGAUUUUGGGAAAGUGUUACAGUUAAGAUUAGGGUUAGGGCUAGGGUUAGGGUUAGAGUUAGGGUUAAGGGUUAGGGUUAGGUUUAAGAUUAUGGUAGGCUUAAAGAUAGGGUUAAGGUUAGGUUAGGGUUAGGGUCAGGGUUAGGAUUAGAAUUAGGUUUAGGGCGAGGAUUAGGGUCAGAGUUAUUGUAAGGGUUAGGUUUCGGGUUACAGGUGGGCCAAGGUUAAGGUGAGGGUUAGGUUUAGGGGUAGGGUUAGGGUUAAAGUCAGGGUGAGUUUUAGGUUAGGGAUAGGGUGAAGUUUAAGACAGGGUGAGGGUUAGGGUUAUGGCUAAGGUUUGGGCUUGUUUUCAGGUUAGUGUUAAGGUUAUGUUCAGGGUUAGGGUUAAGUUCAUGGGUUGUGUUUAGUUUUAGGGUUAGGGUUAGAUUUAAGGUUAGGGUUAAGUUUAGUGUUACGGUUAGGGUAAGGGUUAUGGUUGUGUUAGGCGUUGUGGUUGGGGUGAGGGUUAGGUUUAGGGUUAGGGUUGGGUAGGGUUUGGAUUAUGGUUAUGGUAAAGUGUUAGAGUUAGAGGUGUAGUUUAGGAUUAGGUUUUGUGUGAGGGUUCCGGUUAGACCUUGUGUUUCUGGUCAUGGUUAGGUUUGGUUUAGGGUUAGGGUUAGGUUCAUGAUUAGGUUUCGGGUUAGUGUUAGAGUUAGUGUGAGAGUUAGGGUUAAGGUUUUUGCUAGGCUUUGGUGUUAGGGUUAGGGUUUGUGUUAGGGUUAGGUUUAUCAUUAGGGCUCAGGGGUUUCAGGUUAGUGUUAGGGUUAGGGUUAGGGAUAGCAUUAGGGUUAGCGUUGUGGGAUACGGUUAGGGGUUAGGGUGAGGGUUACGGUUAGUUUUACAGUUAAGGUGAGGGUUUAGGGUAAGUGUUAUGAUUAGGGUUAGAGUUAGAGUGAGGGUUAGGUUUAGGGUUAGGGUUAAGUGUAGGGUAAGAUUUAGGUUUAGGUCCAAGUUGAGGGUUAGACUUAGUGUUCUAUUUAGGGUCAAGGUUAGAGUUAGGGUUAGGGUUAGGAUUAGGUCUAGGUUUAGGAUUAGGAUUAAGUUUAGGGUUAGGUUCAGGGCUAUUGUAAGUGUUCAGUUUAGGGUUACAGAUGGACUAGCGUUAUUCUUAGAGUUAGGUUUGAGGUUAGGGUUUGGGUUAGGUCUAGGUUUAGGGUUAAGGUUAUGGUUAGUGUUUGGAUGAAGUUCAGGAUAGGGUGAGGGUUAUUUUUCUGGUGAGGGCUAGGGUUUGGGUUUGUGUUCAGGUUAGUGUUAAGGAUAGGUUUAGGGUUCGGUUAGGGUUAGGCGUUAUGUCUAGGGUCAGCGUUAGGUUAGGUUUAGGGUUAGUGUGAAGUUUAGGUUAAGGGUGAGGGUUAUGAUAAGGGUUAGGAUUAUAGACGGUGUUAGACGUUAGGUUUAGGGUGUUAGGGUUAGGUUUAUGGUUAGGGUAGAUUUAAGUUUAGGUUUAAUAUUAGGGUUAGGGUUAGAUUUGGGUUACUGUUCGUAUUAGGGUUAGGGUUAGGGAUAAGUUUGGGGAUAGCGUCAGGUUUAGGGUUGGGGAUACGGUUAAGGAUUAGGGUGAGGGUUAGGGUUAGGUUUACAGUUAAGGCGAGGGUUUAGGGUAAUUGUUAUGGUUAGGGCUCGAGUUAGAUUUAGGCGUAGGGUUAGGGUGAUGUUUCAGUUAAUAGUCACGUUAGAGUUAAAGUUAGAGUAGGGUCAAGUUUAGUGUUCGGGUUAGGUAUGGAGUUAGGGUUCGGGUAGGGGUAAGGUUAGGGUUAAGGCUAGGUUUACGAUAAAGGGCAGGGCUAAGUUAGUGUUAGGUUUAGAGUUAGAGUUAGUGCUAGGGUUUGGGGUUAUGCUUAUGGUCAGGUUUAAAGUUAUUGUUAGGCUUUGUUAGGGGGUUAGGGUUGUGUUUGUUACGGGGUUACGAUUGUAUUUUCGGGGUUUAGAGUUGUGCUUGUUAGGGGCUUAGGGUUGUUUUCGUGAGGGGGUUAGGGUUGUUCGUUGUUUGGGGGUUAGGGUUGUUUGUUGUUUGGGGGCUAGGUUUGAUUGUUGUUAGGGGGUUAAGGUUGUUUGUUGUUAGGGGUAUAGUGUUGUUUGUUGUUAGGGGUUCAGGGUUGUUUGUUGUUAGGGGGUUAGUGUUGUUUGUUGUUAGGGUGUUAGGGUUGUUUGUUGUUAGUGGGUUAGGGUUGUUUGUUGUUAGGGAGUUAGGGAUGAUUUUUGUUAGGGGGUUAGUGUUGUUUCUGGUCGGGGGUUAAUGUUGUUUGUUAGGGCGUUAGUUUUGUUUGUUGUUAGUGGGUUAGGGAUGUUUGUUGUUAAGGGGUUAGUGUUGUUUGUUGUUAGGGGGUUAGGAUUUGUUUUUGUAAGAGGGUUAGUGUUGUGUGUUGUUAGGGGGUUAGUGUUGUUUGUGGAUGGGGGUUAGUGUUGUUGGUUGUUAUGGGGUUAGGGUUGUUUGUUGAUAGGUGGUUACUUUUGUUGUUAGGGGUUUUGGGUUGUUGGAUUUUAGGGGUUGAAGGUUGUUUGUUGUUAGAGACUUAGGGUUGUUUGUUGUUAGGGGGUUAGUGUUGUUUGUUGUUAGUGGGUUAGUGUUGUUUGUUGUUAGGGGUUCAGAGUUUUUUGUUGUUAGGGGGUUAGAGUUGUUUGUUGUUAGAGGAUUUGGGUUCUUUCUUGUUGGGGGUUAGAGUUGUUUGUUUUUAGGGGAUAAGUGUUGGUUGUUGUUAGGGGGUUAGUAUUUUUUUUUAUUUUUACUGGGUUAGUGCUGUUGGUGGUUACGGGGUUAGUGUUGUUGGUUGUAUAGGGGGUUAGGGUUGUUUGUUGUUAGGGGGUUAGGGUUGUUUCUUGUUGUACUUUAGUGGUUUUUGUUGUUAGGAUGUUAGUGUUGUUUGUGGUUAGGGGUUUACUGUUGUUGGUUGUUAGGGGGUUAGGGUUGUUUGUUGUUAGGGGUUUAGGGUAGUUUGUUUUAAGGGGUUAGUGUUGUUUGUUGUUAGGUUGUUAGGAUUGUUGUUAGGGUGUUAGUGGUGUUUGUUAGGGGGUUAGUGUUUUUUGUUGUUAGGGGGUUAGUGUUGUUUCUUGUUAGAGAGUUAGUUUUCUUUGUUGUUAGGGGAUUAGGGUUGUAUGUAGUUAGUGGGUUAGAGUUGUUUGUUGUUG
Loxodonta africana (African savanna elephant) is the source of this 10309-nucleotide long non-coding RNA. RefSeq lists it as uncharacterized. The record is from RefSeq and is a predicted model, not a curated record. The transcript has 2 exons. NCBI's taxonomy places the organism in Eukaryota, Metazoa, Chordata, Mammalia, Proboscidea, Elephantidae.